Molecule: ribosomal RNA, 462 nt
Filed under: uncultured bacterium
Lineage: Bacteria
Description: SSU rRNA
Rfam family: Bacterial small subunit ribosomal RNA
Source: RNAcentral
AGAGCGAACGCUGGCGGCAGGCCUAAUACAUGCAAGUCGAACGGACCCUUCGGGGUUAGUGGCGGACGGGUGAGUAACACGUGGGAACGUGCCCUUUGGUUCGGAACAACUCAGGGAAACUUGAGCUAAUACCGAAUGUGCCCCCAUCCUUAAACAAGAUGGGUGGGAAAGAUUUAUCGCCAUUGGAGCGGCCCGCGUCUGAUUAGCUAGUUGGUGAGGUAAAGGCUCACCAAGGCGACGAUCAGUAGCUGGUCUGAGAGGAUGAUCAGCCACACUGGGACUGAGACACGGCCCAGACUCCUACGGGAGGCAGCAGUAGGGAAUCUUGCGCAAUGGGCGAAAGCCUGACGCAGCCAUGCCGCGUGAAUGAUGAAGGUCUUAGGAUUGUAAAAUUCUUUCAGGUCGGGACGAUAAUGACGGUACCGCAGAAGAACGCCCGGCUAACUUCGUGCCAGCAGCCGC